This 395-nucleotide ribosomal RNA is filed under the name Mallomonas elongata. RNAcentral describes it as "partial small subunit ribosomal RNA". It matches the Rfam family "Eukaryotic small subunit ribosomal RNA", at positions 30 to 432 of the family's 1831-position model. Lineage: Eukaryota; Synurophyceae; Synurales; Mallomonadaceae. The record is from RNAcentral.
GCUUGUCUCAAAGAUUAAGCCAUGCAUGCAUGUCUAAGUAUAAACGACUUUAUACUGUGAAACUGCGAAUGGCUCAUUAUAUCAGUUAUAGUUUAUUUGAUGGUCCUUGCUACUUGGAUAACCGUAGUAAUUCUAGAGCUAAUACAUGCAUCAAACCCCGACUUCUGGAAGGGGUGUAUUUAUUAGAUUGAAACCAAUGCGGGGCAACCCGGUAUCUGGUGAUUCAUAAUAACUUUCGGAUCGUCUUUGACGAUGCAUCAUUCAAGUUUCUGCCCUAUCAGCUUUGGAUGGUAGGGUAUUGGCCUACCAUGGCUUUAACGGGUAACGGAGAAUUAGGGUUCGAUUCCGGAGAGGGAGCCUGAGAAAUGGCUACCACAUCCAAGGAAGGCAGCAGG